Molecule: non-coding RNA, 1022 nt
Organism: Musa acuminata subsp. malaccensis (wild Malaysian banana)
Lineage: Eukaryota; Viridiplantae; Streptophyta; Magnoliopsida; Zingiberales; Musaceae
Source: RefSeq, a predicted model, not a curated record
UCUCUCUCUCUCUCUCUCCUUCCUGAGCCCUCGACUCGACGCAGCGAGCAAGCUUCUUCUCAGUUUCCUGCAGCCCAAUGUCUGGUCGAGAAGGUUCGCCAAGAUCGCCGCUGAGUUCUUCCGGCGGCACAGAUCGGGUCCUCCACGUAAAACUCGUUGCUUCUUGACUUGGAUCUUCUCUUCGAUGCGUUUGGCCCGCGGGAGUUAAUCUCGGUGGACAACUUAUUCGAGUCCCAUCAAAACGCCUUCUUGCCUACCUUCGAAUCACACCGGCUGCAUCCCUUUCUCCGCCUCCUUGUUCUAUACAAGUGCGGUGACAUUUAUUUCCACACCGAUGCUUUAAUCGUCUCAGGAACCCCACUGGAGCUCAGUCUGGGGAGGCUGAGACAGAGAACUGGAUUUGGCAGAACAAUGCAAUGACGGCAUUCGACAGGAGUUAUCCCCUCCACAAGUUCAUCGAGGAGUUUGCACUGAUGUCGACGGAAGCAAAUGGGAUCAGAGGGUGAAAGGGAGGUCUGGUUAUAGUUUCAGUGUUCCGCCACCAUCAGCAUCCUUCUGAGUCGCUGGAUCAAGAUAACGAGACUGCUUUUGGGGUUCCAAAACUGGAGCCUUUUAGACUAGAUUUCAACAAAUAUUGAUUAGUUUCCAGUAGAAAUCGGAUUCUAGUAUUUUCUGCAAUUCCUCAAGCAUCUGAUGAUGUUCAACUUUGAGAAGAACAAGCUGAGCUUCGAAACCAACUCAGUCUAUAAAUUGGUCGGAACAUCUAAAAGACAAACAUGUUGCAGAAAUCAACCCCAACCUAGCUCAGAUGUGAUUCUUGAGGAAGGUGAUGACAAGCUGGUUCACUUGAUCAGGGAACUGCUCCUGAACAAAAUGGCUUUCUUCAGGAACCUCAAUUUUUGGAUCGGCAAUGCCUGUUCCCCUAUACAAUGUCCUACCAGAAGCAGAGUGGUAUUGUCAGCACAAUUUUAAAGGAUUUCAUUCAUUCAUUCAUAUGCUAACUUUGGCAGUUCACCUGUAUG